GACGAACGCUGGCGGCGUGCCUAAUACAUGCAAGUAGAACGCUGAAGGAGGAGCUUGCUCUUCUGGAUGAGUUGCGAACGGGUGAGUAACGCGUAGGUAACCUGCCUGGUAGCGGGGGAUAACUAUUGGAAACGAUAGCUAAUACCGCAUAACAGUAGAUGUUGCAUGACAUUUGCUUAAAAGGUGCAAUUGCACCACUACCAGAUGGACCUGCGUUGUAUUAGCUAGUUGGUGGGGUAACGGCUCACCAAGGCGACGAUACAUAGCCGACCUGAGAGGGUGAUCGGCCACACUGGGACUGAGACACGGCCCAGACUCAUACGGGAGGCAGCAGUAGGGAAUCUUCGGCAAUGGACGGAAGUCUGACCGAGCAACGCCGCGUGAGUGAAGAAGGUUUUCGGAUCGUAAAGCUCUGUUGUAAGAGAAGAACGAGUGUGAGAGUGGAAAGUGCACACUGUGACGGUAUCUUACCAGAAAGGGACGGCUAACUACGUG
Molecule: ribosomal RNA, 495 nt
Filed under: uncultured bacterium
Lineage: Bacteria
Description: partial 16S ribosomal RNA
Rfam family: Bacterial small subunit ribosomal RNA
Source: RNAcentral